UACGGAGGAUCCGAGCGUCAUCCGGAUUUAUUGGGUUUAAAGGGAGCGUAGGCGGGUUGUUAAGUCAGUUGUGAAAGUUUGCGGCUCAACCGUAAAAUUGCAGUUGAUACUGGCAUCCUUGAGUACAGUAGAGGUAGGCGGAAUUCGUGGUGUAGCGGUGAAAUGCUUAGAUAUCACGAAGAACUCCGAUUGCGAAGGCAGCCUGCUGGACUGUAACUGACGCUGAUGCUCGAAAGUGUGGGUAUCAAACAGG
RNAcentral lists this ribosomal RNA (253 nucleotides) under uncultured bacterium. RNAcentral describes it as "partial 16S ribosomal RNA". It matches the Rfam family "Bacterial small subunit ribosomal RNA", at positions 524 to 776 of the family's 1533-position model. The record is from RNAcentral.